Carcharodon carcharias (great white shark) is the source of this 829-nucleotide long non-coding RNA. RefSeq lists it as uncharacterized. Lineage: Eukaryota; Metazoa; Chordata; Chondrichthyes; Lamniformes; Lamnidae. The transcript is spliced from 3 exons. The record is from RefSeq and is a predicted model, not a curated record.
UACAGCAAAGUUCCACAAAUAACAAUGGGAUGACUGGCCGUUGGUGUGGUUACAGUGCAGUGCUGAGUGCUGCACUGUCUUUCAGGUAAUAUGUUAAACCCAGAUCCCAUUUCUUGGCUCGAGUGGAUGUAAAAGAUCAUGUGGCAUUAUUUCAAAGAAGAGCAGGGGAGUUAUCCUCGCUGUCCUGGUCAAUAUUUAUCCCUCAAUCCCUGGUCAUUAUCAUCUGCCGUGUGCACAUUGACUGCUGCAUUUCCUACAUUACAACAAACAAAAGUCCCAAGAUGCACCAGGUCUGAUGGCAGAGAUGAGCAGUUCAGAGAUUCAGUGGAAGGCACACUUCAACAAGCUUAAGAGUGCACAGCACCAAGCAGAGGAAUAACUUUGGGAGAGACCAAUGUCCACAAGAUCCUUCAUGAAUGGAACAGAAAACAAUGAAAGCCAGUGGCCCUUCAAGACCGAUGCACACUGGAGAUGGUGAUCAUGUUCUCUGUUACUUGUACUUCGUCAAUCUCAAAUAAAAAAAUUCACUUAUCCAGCACAUUGUGAAGCCGGCUAUCUGAAAAUUUUACGGGGAAGAGGAAUGACCAGAUUGCCAGAAACAAUGCACUAUCAACCGAUCCAUGAGGUCUCAAGCUGUAAUGUGCUGUACUGUCCUUCCUUCCUCUACACUCAAGUCAUCCUUGUCAGAUGUCAGUACUUGCUGUUGCUCUGCCAUCUCAGGUGUGAUCUCUGGUUUGCCAAGUUGUGCAACAUGCAGCACACUGCAAUGACGCAGGACACUUUCGCUGGGAUAUUUUAUACAGAAGCCCCAGGAACCUGAACCUUUGCU